AUAGCUAAACUAAAAAGCAUUUCACUUACACCGAAAAGUUGCCCGUGCAAAUCGGACUACUCUGACACUAAAAAGCUAGCUAUACAUAAUACUUAACAUAAAAUAUUAAUAACUAUUGAUACACUAACAAGUAAAAUUAAACCAUUUUUCAUAUCUUAGUAUAGGAGAUAAAAAAGGAAAAUUAAGCUAUAAAUUUAGUACCGCAAGGGAAUGCUGAAAGAGAGAUGAAACAGCACAGUAAAGUAAAAUAAAGCAGAGAUAUGAACUCGUACCUUUUGCAUCAUGAUUUAGCAAGACUAAUUAAGCAAAAUGUUUUCUAGUUUACUAUCCCGAAACUAAGUGAGCUACUCCAGGACAGCCUGAUAAUAGGGCAAACACGUCUCUGUAGCAAAAGAGUGUGAAGAUCCUUGAGUAGAGGUGACAAGCCUAUCGAACCUAGUUAUAGCUGGUUGCCUGAGAGUUAAAUAGGAGUUUAGCCUUUUAUUUUCUAAAUUUAACAAUGACUAAUCAUUUCAAGAAUAACAGAAUAUUAAAGAGUUAUUCAUAAGGGGCUCAGCCCUUAUGAAAAAGGAUACAACCUUUUUAGGUGAUUAAUGACACAAAUAAAGUUAAUGUCUUAGUGGGCUUAAAAGCAGCCACCUUAAAAAGCGUUAAAGC
This 657-nucleotide ribosomal RNA is filed under the name Nothobranchius sagittae. RNAcentral's name for it is "partial 16S ribosomal RNA". The stretch from base 251 to 657 matches the Rfam family "Bacterial large subunit ribosomal RNA", at positions 568 to 1141 of the family's 2925-position model. The record is from RNAcentral. Lineage: Eukaryota; Metazoa; Chordata; Actinopteri; Cyprinodontiformes; Nothobranchiidae.